RNAcentral lists this long non-coding RNA (2417 nucleotides) under Heterocephalus glaber (naked mole-rat). RNAcentral's name for it is "lncRNA (ENSHGLG00000042388.1)". The record is from RNAcentral. Lineage: Eukaryota; Metazoa; Chordata; Mammalia; Rodentia; Bathyergidae.
GAAGUCACCUGUUGCCUGCCAUCAUCAUGAGGAUCCUGCAUUUCCUCUUCUCCAUCCUCCUGGUAUUCUUCUUGAUGCUGCCAGGUUUUUUUAAAAGAAAUUUUACAUUGAUAUAAAGAAAUGCAGACCAUUACCCUACAGACAUCUAAAGGCUGCAGCUGUACCUUCCUGUACUUCAGCUGUUCUCACAGGGAGUGGAGGGCAGGGAGCUCAGGACUCGCGGAUCCUGGGUGUUUUCAGGGCAGCCCUGGACACAGCUCCUGCCCCGCACUGGGCCGUUUCCCAGACUGCGCGUCUGAGCUUUAGUUCACCCUUCCUACCAUGGUAACAGCGCAAGGAAGGAGCAAACGGAGGGGAGAGCACCGUGGGUUUGAGGGAGGCACAGAGAGAGGAAGGAAGGUGUGAGGCCAGGACCUGAGAUCGUGAAUCAGAUAGAAAUUAUAUUGGGAAAACCCGCUUCAUUUUUGGUUUUGUUUGUAAGAACCAGGCGGCUUUUUCAAUGUUUGUCAGCCCGCGUUUACAGUACACGGCGCUUGCGCUGAGCGUGGGGAGCUGGAACUCGUGCACCGUGCAGCCUAACCCCCGUCCACCUCGCUUUCCCGUCCCUCACUUCGCGUCCACGCAUCUCUUGGCCCCGCUUCUUCUUUCCUGCUUUUGGAAAAUGUUGGCGGUGCAGAGCGCUUACAUUCCUUCGCGGAGUCGGCACAUGCACCCAACACCUAGCACAUCUUGAUUCCUUUUCUCAUCCCCCACCCUUCCGACCUCCAUCUCCUGAUGCCCUUCCACUUUGAGAAACAGGUAUCUCCCUACUUCUUCUUUUUUUUUUUUUUACUUCAAAUGUGUUUAUUUUUCAUUUUAGUCAUAACAAAAUGAUUCUCAUAAGAUGGAAUUUGGUUGCUAACUUCUAAUCAAUAAUAUACAAGAACAAUCUCCAGACCAUUUUGUUAGUGAAUAUUUUGACUCACAUAUCAUUCUGAUCCACUUAACAUUAAUAUUUUAACAUCGCAAAUGAGUAAACAUUUUUCAAUGUCUUCUUAUCAUUUGGGGGGCCACAUUUUAUGCAUAGUGUGGUCUAGAGUUGAAUCAUUGAUGUGGAUUAAGCCUGCUGAAACCAUUCGAGGACUUGGAAAUUUUCUAGUGUAGCUUUCUUGUUUGUUAGGCUCUGGAGCAGUAUAAGGUCUUGCAACAUGUUUUCCCUGAUUAUGGAUAUCAUCUGGGUUCUUUCCUUCAUGUCUUGCUCUUGAUUUUGUUUUUGUAGGAUGCUUAACUGGGGUCACAUAUAAAUCCCCAUAUUCAUCCAAACAAUCAUGUAUGGAUGUUUUUGGAGUCCAGUGAAGGAAAGUCUUUGGAACAGAUUUCCUUAGAUGAAUGGUCAAGGUGGGAAGAGCAGUUGGUAACAGCCUUCCUAUGUUGUUAGAUAACUUUUUUGGUUUACCAGUAUAUUUUCUUUCUUUCUGAAUCUUGAGUUUUAUAUUUUCUCUCUUCAAUACUUCUGGGAAGAAGAAUGGCUGAGAAUUUUUCUCAUCUUCGUUAUAUUUAAAUGAUUGUGAUUCAGGAAACUUGACACAAUUUUCAUUGCAAAUUUCAUUUUGGCUCAGAUACAGAGUUUGUGUGUCCUUUUGGUAUUGCCCAAAUGUUACUAGGUGGUUUUUGUUGUUGUUAUUAUUUUCUUUCAAUCUCUGAAAACACUGGUCAAAUGUUGCUUGUUCUUUAGCCUUAAAAUUGAAAUGAGUUAAAGUGUUAGCCUGGCAUAAAGGGAAAGCAGAGCUAUUUAAAUAACCUUCAUUGUCCCUAGGCAUACAGCAAUAAGGAAUUCUUGGAAAUGGUGAUGACAUUGCUUCAGGGUUUUUUUUGAAGAGUCAGUUUAUAAGUGUUGACAUAUUCCUUUUUUUCAAGAGGAUUCACUUUCAGUGUUGUUUCAAAGCAAGCUUUUGAAAAAAUUUGUUUUUAAUUUACCAUACCUACUAUAUGGGUCUCGAGUCUCUGCUUUAUACACAGAGACUUCUGCUUGAGGAGGCUGUAUGAAAACAUAUUCUUUCUUGUGUUUCUUAAGCAAUGUACCUGUCAGUCUUUCUGAUGACUUAUUUAAUGGAAUUUCCUGGAGAGUGUUGGAAUAAGGAUGUAUUUUUAUUAAACUUAGUGUUUUAGCUCCUUCUCUAGAGUAACUGUUUUUCUGUUGCUGAAUUGCUGGUGCAUUUUCUUUUGAGUUGUGUAAGAAAGAAUAUUCCUUUUCUUCUUUCCUGAUAAAUUCUGUUUCUAUAUCUCUCCCUACUUCUUAUCAUCAGUUUUCUAUCAUCCAGAAAUCAAACAAUAGCACGUGCUGGAGAGGCUACUGGAAAAAAGAACCUGUCUACAUUUUGGUGGGAAUGUAAACUAGUACUGUCCCGCCCGCGGGUAAGUCAACGGAGACCCUAGAG